GAUGAACGCUGGCGGCGUGCCUAAUACAUGCAAGUCGAGCGAACAGACGAGGAGCUUGCUCCUUCGACGUUAGCGGCGGACGGGUGAGUAACACGUAGGUAACCUACCUAUAAGACUGGGAUAACUUCGGGAAACCGGAGCUAAUACCGGAUAAUAUUUCGAACCGCAUGGUUCGAUAGUGAAAGAUGGCUUUGCUAUCACUUGUAGAUGGACCUGCGCCGUAUUAGCUAGUUGGUAAGGUAACGGCUUACCAAGGCAACGAUACGUAGCCGACCUGAGAGGGUGAUCGGCCACACUGGAACUGAGACACGGUCCAGACUCCUACGGGAGGCAGCAGUAGGGAAUCUUCCGCAAUGGGCGAAAGCCUGACGGAGCAACGCCGCGUGAGUGAUGAAGGUCUUCGGAUCGUAAAACUCUGUUAUUAGGGAAGAACAAACGUGUAAGUAACUGUGCACGUCUUGACGGUACCUAAUCAGAAAGCCACGGCUAACUACGUG
This 497-nucleotide ribosomal RNA is filed under the name uncultured bacterium. Its description in RNAcentral is "partial 16S ribosomal RNA". It matches the Rfam family "Bacterial small subunit ribosomal RNA", at positions 28 to 507 of the family's 1533-position model. The record is from RNAcentral.